AAAUCAGCAAAACCUUGCCGUCACCUAAUACAAUGGCAUCUUCUGAUCUAAGAACACCUUCUCUUCUCUAACAAGAAAUAACAGGACAAAUAGAGAAUAAAAACAGCAGGCAAAUAAAUAAGGGCCAUCUCAUAGAUGAGCUGAUAACUGGAUAAAAUACAAGUAAAAUGUUAACUAUAGAUAUAGGUGGUGAGUAUAAGAAUUCACUGGAUAACUACUGGAACUUUUUUGCAUGUUUGAAAAUUUUCAUAAUGUCAGAAGCAUCGCAACAAUAUCUAAAAUACAGAUCUGACAAUUUUUUAGGUGUUAUACUAGUUAGACUGGGUGUUGUUUUUAAUUAUAAGAAAUACUUUCUACGCCAGGCACAGUGGCUCAUGCCUGUAAUCCCAGCACUUUGGGAGGCUGAGGCGGGUGGAUCACUUGAGGUCAGGAGUUUGAGACCAGCCUGGCCAACAUGGUGAAACCCCAUCUCUACUACACAAAUAAACAAACAAACAAAAAACACACACAGAUUAGCUGGGCAUGGUGGCGCAUGCCUGUAGUCCCAGUUGCCUGGGAGGCUGAGGUUGCAGUGAGCCAAGAUUAGGCUAUUGGACUCCAGCCUAGGCAACAGAGUGAGAUCCUGUCUCAGAAACAAAAACAAAAGAACAAACAAACAUUAGCCAGGCAUGGUGGCAGGCACCUGUAAUGCCAGCUACUCAGGAGGCUGAGGCAGAAGAAUCACUUGAACCUGGGAGGUGGAGGUUGCAGUGAGCUGAGAUUGUGCCACUGCAUGCCAGCCUGGGCGACAGAGUAAUACUUUGUCUGAAAAAAUAAAAAUAAAAUAAAACAUAAAAAAGCUAUCUUUUAGAUACGUAUUAAGAUAUUAUACAUGAAGUGAUAUGAUAGCUGGAACGUGCUUUAAAAUAACUCAAGGGGUUGGGUACAAAUGAAACGAGACUGAUCAUAACUGUGAGAGCUAAGCCCAGAGUACAUGACCUAGUUGUUCUAUUUCUAUGUUUUUUGUUAGAAAACAAAUUGAAAAUACAACCCUGGGAAGAAAUUAUGUAGUCAAGUAACUAUACUAUCAAAAUGAAUUAGACAUUUGAAGCAAUUAUCUAUAAAACUGUAGUAAAAAUUGCCCUGAAUCAAGUGAUUCAGCCAAAGGAAAGUCUGUUGAUUAUAUUGCACUCCCCCCCCCGCUUCUUUUUUUUCAAACAAUCAGCUUUCUAUUGCUACUUUUACUGUAGGCCUGACUCUCAAUACAGAAACUUCAAAAUGGGCGCCUAUUCAAUCAGAAUUUGAAAUUUCUAUUUUAUCCUGCCUCGUGAAUUAAUGAGCACAAGUUCUUUAUAGGAUUCCAGCUAAUAGAUGCAGAAGGAAUGACAAGAUAUCACUGGUUGGCAACCUCUAAUGGAAUCCCAGAUGUGGGCAAAUAUCAUUAAUGAUGGCUAAAUCCAUCAGGGGAAAAGCUGAUAGAGAACUUUUGUAAUGAAUGGAGUGGGCUGGCAGCAUCCAAACCCACUAUCAAUCUUAAUGUUACAAGAUGAGAGCCAUUAUGUGCCAUGAUGUGAUACAACAUGGAGCAUAUAUCACCUAUGAAUUAUUUUUGUGAAAAAGCAAAACAGAACAACAGAAGCCCUCUAGAUCUGUCAGUUUAUAGAACAUAUAGGGGACAGAAAAGGUGUACAUGAUCCCAUUAGGAUACAUUCAGUAAAAUCCACUGAAGGACAAUUCUAUAGGACAAACAACUUAGUUUCUUCAAAAAUUAAAAACAGGAAAGUUAAAUCUAUAGAUUAUAUUAACAAAAUGCAAGAUCUAGAUCUUGCCUGGAUCUUGACUCGAAUAAACCAACUGUUAAAAAAAACUUACGAGACAAUCAGGAAGUUUGAAUAUUGACUGGUACUUGGCAUCAAAAAAUGUUUUAGCAGUCUUACACAAUGGUAUUGUGGUUAUGUUCAAAAAAGUACCCUAUCUUUGGAGUUAUAUUUGAAUGUCUCUGAUCACACAGACAUGAAAAUACUAUGCCUGUUAAUGGGACUCAAACUGAUCCCUGUGGGUUGGGGCAGGGGAUAGGUGGGGAUGCAGGUAAACAAGACUGACCACAGGACAGCUGUUGGAGGAUGGGUACACAGAGCUUCAUUCUGCUAUUCUUUUUGUGCAUUUGUGAAAAUUUCCAUAAUAAAAUGUUUUUAAAAAUGAGUUUGGAUAGCAUUAUACUAUAAAAUAUUUUAAAAUUUCCUUCUUUAAUGAAGACUUGCAAGCAGAAAAAUAUAAUUUUCUAAGGGUCAAUUAACUAGUACAUUAACUCAAGUAACAGUUACUUAGCGCAGGGCAUGGUGGCUUAUGCCUAUAAUCCCAGUACUUUGGGAGGCCAAGGUGGGAGGAUGGCUUGAGCCAGGAGUUCAAUACCAACCUGGGCAACAUAGGGAGACCUCUGUCUCUUACAUAAAUAAAAAAAAUUAGCCAGGUAUGGUGGCAUGUGCCUGUGGUCCCAGCUAUUUGCAGGGCUGAGGUAAGAGGAUUGCUUGGGCCUGAGAGGUGGAGGCUGCAGUGAGCCAGGAUCAUGCCACUGCACUUCAACCUGGGCAAAAGAGCAAGAGCCUGUCUCAAAACAAACAAAAAAGUUUCUUAGAAACUGAUAAAUAAAUAUAAUUUUUAAAAGAUUGUACAAAUUACUGUUAUUGCAUGACUAAGAGACUACUAAAAGUUGGGAUUUUUUUUUUUGAGACAGAGUCACACUCUGUCACCUAGGCUGGAGUGUAGUGGCGUGAUCUUGGCUCACUGCAACCUCUGCCUCCUGGGUUCAAGUGAUUUUUUGUGCCCCAGUGCCCCAAGUAGUUGGGACAACAUGUGUGUACCAUGCCUGGCUAAUUUCUGUAUUUUUAGUAGAGACUUUUUUUUGUUUGUUUUGAGAGGGAGUCUUGCUCAGUCGCCAAGCUGGAGUGCAGUGGCGCCAUCUUGGCUCACUGCAAGCUCCGCCUCCCGGGUUCACGUCAUUCUCAUGCCUCAGCCUCCUGAGUAGCUGGGACUACAGGCGCGUGCCACCACACCCGGCUAAUUUUUUGUAUUUUUUUAAAUAGAGACGGGGUUUCACCAUGUUAGCCAGGAUGGUCUCGAUUUCCUGACCUCGUGAUUCACCCACCUUGGCCUCCCAAAGUGCUGGGAUUACAGGCGUGAGCCACCGCGCCUGGCCGAGACGGCGUUUUACCAUGUUGGCCAGGCUGGUCUCAAACUCCUGACCUCAAGUGUUCCACCAGCCUCGGUCUCCCGAAGUGUUGGGAUUACAGGCGUAAACCACAAUGCCAGGCCAAAAAUUGGGAUUUUAAACCAAAAGGAGAAACCUUUGAUAAACUGAACAUCAAUUCCAGGUAAAACUAGGCUCUGGAGUCAGCCAGAUCUAGGUUUGAAUCCUAGCUCUGUCAUUUUCUAUCUACCAGUUCAAUGUUUUUUGGCAUAGCACACAAUUUCUGUGACCCUUAGGCUCCACAUCUAUAAUGUGGCAGCAACAACUUUCUUGGUCAGUAGAGCACUCUGCAAAGGGCCUGGCACAUGGUAAGUGCUUGGUGUAGAAUUCAAAUAAUUCCACUACCAUUUCAGUCAUAAAUGCAUACUUUUCUAUAAUCUAACAUCUCUCAAAUUGGGAUGUCUCAUAAUUGAUGGCAUAUCAUGAUUUAAUUGGCAGGUUUUUUCCUUAGUCGUUUGUAAAAAAUGGUGCUACAGAUCAAUAGCAUCUAAGAGUCAAUAUACCAUGGUAUCAAUCAUUGUAAAGAUAUAUUCCCAAUUUCUGUUCUAAGGUUACUCUGAAUAACCAAUCUGAGAUUUAAAAUAUUUAAAGUCUGAGUAAAAUAUUUCUAAUACAUCAUGAACAGAACAGUUUUGAGACAAAUUAAUUUUGUAAAAAAUGGUUUAUCAAUUCCAUUUUUGUAUAAAACACACGGGAGAAACCUAGCCAAUCAACACACAACUGUCACCACAUGAAAAGGUACUUUUAUCAAACUUCGAGUCUAAGAACAUACAAAUGUUUCUUUUAUCAUGUCUACAGUAAUUGUCUAUGCUUUUCCAUUUAACUGUUGUUAAAAAUUCCACAUAUCCCCAUUAUUUCUUCUGUCCCAGUUACAGUACAAUGACGGGGAGGAAGAGGGUUGGUUAAAGCAUCCCUCUAAGCAGUUUUCUGCUGUCCCUUCUUUCCAAUCAGAGAUUUGUGGAUGUGAGGGAUCACACCUAGAAUGAAAUUUAAAAAAGUUAUUAAAAACUUUUAAAGUUUUUGCCUCAAGUAAAAAGUUAAUUAUAGAAAAAAUGAAAUUUACUUAAGUCCCUUUUCAUAUUCUGAUACUGUUAAACUAUCUAUACCAAUGGCUACACCCCAGGGGUCUGUGAACCCUUUAAAACUGUAUGUAAAAUUGUGUGACUUUCCGUGCAUUUUUUGAGAAGAGUAACCAUAGCUUUUUUUUUUUUUUUUUUUUGAGAUGGCCUCACUUUGUCGCCAAUGCUGGGGUGCAGUGGUGUAAUCUUGGCUCACUGCGACCUCUGUCCUGGGUUCAAGUGAUUCUCCUACCUCAGCCUCCUGAGUAGC
This 4555-nucleotide long non-coding RNA is filed under the name Homo sapiens (human). RNAcentral's name for it is "HSALNT0122047". Lineage: Eukaryota; Metazoa; Chordata; Mammalia; Primates; Hominidae. The record is from RNAcentral.